RNAcentral lists this ribosomal RNA (253 nucleotides) under uncultured prokaryote. Its description in RNAcentral is "partial 16S ribosomal RNA". It matches the Rfam family "Bacterial small subunit ribosomal RNA", at positions 524 to 776 of the family's 1533-position model. The record is from RNAcentral.
UACGUAGGCAGCAAGCGUUGUUCGGAAUUACUGGGCGUAAAGCGUGUGUAGGCGGUUGGGUAAGUCUGGUGUGAAAUCUCCUGGCUCAACUGGGAGGGUGCGCCGGAAACUGCUUGGCUAGAGUGCGGAAGAGGAGAGUGGAAUUCCCGGUGUAGCGGUGAAAUGCGUAGAUAUCGAGAGGAACACCUGCGGCGAAGGCGGGUUGCUGGGCUGACACUGACGCUGAGGCGCGAAAGCUAGGGGAGCGAACGGG